GUGAGUCAUCGAAUCUUUGAACGCAUAUUGCGCCCCCUGGCAUUCCGGAGGGCACACCUGUCCGAGCGCCAUUUCGACACUCAAGCAUAGCUUGGUGUUGGGCAGGGUCCCUUCCGGGACCCGCCCGUAACCCGUAGGCGGCCGUCGUCCGCGCUCCCGGCGUAGCAGGCAAACGCACUCGCCCGGGGACGGCGAGCGGCCCGCCCCGCAAACCAGACCCCUUAAAGGUUUGGCCUCGGAUCAGGUGGGGAUACCCGCUGAACUUAAGCAUAUCAAUAAGCGGAGGA
RNAcentral lists this unclassified non-coding RNA (287 nucleotides) under Venturiales sp. Its description in RNAcentral is "partial contains 5.8S ribosomal RNA, internal transcribed spacer 2, and large subunit ribosomal RNA". The stretch from base 231 to 287 matches the Rfam family "Eukaryotic large subunit ribosomal RNA", at positions 1 to 57 of the family's 3401-position model. Lineage: Eukaryota; Fungi; Ascomycota; Dothideomycetes; Venturiales. The record is from RNAcentral.